This 642-nucleotide ribosomal RNA is filed under the name Staphylococcus sp. ALE-3. RNAcentral's name for it is "bacterial SSU rRNA". It matches the Rfam family "Bacterial small subunit ribosomal RNA", at positions 902 to 1532 of the family's 1533-position model. The record is from RNAcentral. Lineage: Bacteria; Bacillati; Bacillota; Bacilli; Caryophanales; Staphylococcaceae.
CAAAGGAAUUGACGGGGACCCGGCCCAACCGGUGGAGCAUGUGGGUUUAAUUCGAAAGCAACGCGAAGAACCUUACCAAAUCUUGACAUCCUUUGACAACUUUAGAGAUAGAGUCUUUCCCCUUUCGGGGGACAAAAGUGACAGGUGGUGCAUGGUUGUCGUCAGCUUCGUGUCGUAAGAUGUUGGGUUAAGUCCCGCAACGAGCGCAACCCUUAAGCUUAGUUGCCAGCAUUAAAGUUGGGCACUCUAAGUUGACUGCCGGUGACAAACCGGAGGAAGGUGGGGAUGACGUCAAAUCAUCAUGCCCCCUAUGAUUUGGGCUACACACGUGGCUACAAUGGACAAUACAAAGGGCAGCUAAACCGCGAGGUCAUGCAAAUCCCAUAAAGUUGUUCUCAGUUCGGAUUGUAGUCUGCAACUCGACUACAUGAAGCUGGAAUCGCUAGUAAUCGUAGAUCAGCAUGCUACGGUGAAUACGUUCCCGGGUCUUGUACACACCGCCCGUCACACCACGAGAGUCUGUAACACCCGAAGCCGGUGGAGUAACCAUUUAUGGAGCUAGCCGUCGAAGGUGGGACAAAUGAUUGGGGUGAAGUCGUAACAAGGUAGCCGUAUCGGAAGGUGCGGAUGGAUCACCUCCUU